This 253-nucleotide ribosomal RNA is filed under the name uncultured bacterium. RNAcentral describes it as "partial 16S ribosomal RNA". It matches the Rfam family "Bacterial small subunit ribosomal RNA", at positions 524 to 776 of the family's 1533-position model. The record is from RNAcentral.
UACGAAGGGGGCUAGCGUUGCUCGGAAUGACUGGGCGUAAAGGGCGCGUAGGCGGUUCGUACAGUCAGACGUGAAAUUCCUGGGCUCAACCUGGGGGCUGCGUUUGAUACGUGCGGGCUUGAGUUCGGAAGAGGGUCGUGGAAUUCCCAGUGUAGAGGUGAAAUUCGUAGAUAUUGGGAAGAACACCGGUGGCGAAGGCGGCGACCUGGUCCGAUACUGACGCUGAGGCGCGAAAGCGUGGGGAGCAAACGGG